GGCUUACCAUGCAAGUCGAGGGGCAGCAUGAACUUAGCUUGCUAAGUUUGAUGGCGACCGGCGCACGGGUGAGUAACACGUAUCCAACCUGCCGAUGACUCGGGGAUAGCCUUUCGAAAGAAAGAUUAAUACCCGAUAGUAUAAUGAAACCGCAUGGUCUUAUUAUUAAAGAAUUUCGGUUAUCGAUGGGGAUGCGUUCCAUUAGGCAGUUGGUGAGGUAACGGCUCACCAAACCUUCGAUGGAUAGGGGUUCUGAGAGGAAGGUCCCCCACAUUGGAACUGAGACACGGUCCAAACUCCUACGGGAGGCAGCAGUGAGGAAUAUUGGUCAAUGGGCGCAGGCCUGAACCAGCCAAGUAGCGUGAAGGAUGACUGCCCUAUGGGUUGUAAACUUCUUUUAUAUGGGAAUAAAGUUUUCCACGUGUGGAAUUUUGUAUGUACCAUAUGAAUAAGGAUCGGCUAACUCCGUGCCAGCAGCCGCGGUAAUACGGAGGAUCCGAGCGUUAUCCGGAUUUAUUGGGUUUAAAGGGAGCGUAGGUGGACAGUUAAGUCAGUUGUGAAAGUUUGCGGCUCAACCGUAAAAUUGCAGUUGAUACUGGCUGUCUUGAGUACAGUAGAGGUGGGCGGAAUUCGUGGUGUAGCGGUGAAAUGCUUAGAUAUCACGAAGAACUCCGAUUGCGAAGGCAGCUCACUGGACUGCAACUGACACUGAUGCUCGAAAGUGUGGGUAUCAAACAGGAUUAGAUACCCUGGUAGUCCACACAGUAAACGAUGAAUACUCGCUGUUUGCGAUAUACAGUAAGCGGCCAAGCGAAAGCAUUAAGUAUUCCACCUGGGGAGUACGCCGGCAACGGUG
This 856-nucleotide ribosomal RNA is filed under the name uncultured bacterium. RNAcentral describes it as "bacterial SSU rRNA". It matches the Rfam family "Bacterial small subunit ribosomal RNA", at positions 45 to 896 of the family's 1533-position model. The record is from RNAcentral.